This 460-nucleotide ribosomal RNA is filed under the name uncultured bacterium. Its description in RNAcentral is "partial 16S ribosomal RNA". It matches the Rfam family "Bacterial small subunit ribosomal RNA", at positions 338 to 795 of the family's 1533-position model. The record is from RNAcentral.
CCUACGGGAGGCAGCAGUGAGGAAUAUUGGUCAAUGGGCGGGAGCCUGAACCAGCCAAGUCGCGUGAGGGACGACGGUCCUAUGGAUUGUAAACCUCUUUUGUCGGGGAACAAAGGCGCCCACGGGUGGGCGGAUGAGUGUACCCGAAGAACAAGCAUCGGCUAACUCCGUGCCAGCAGCCGCGGUAAUCCGUAGGUGGCAAGCGUUGUCCGGAUUUACUGGGUGUAAAGGGCGUGUAGCCGGGCUGACAAGUCAGAUGUGAAAUACGGGGGCUCAACCCCCGAACUGCAUUUGAAACUGUUGGUCUUGAGGAUCGGAGAGGCAGGCGGAAUUCCUAGCGUAGCGGUGAAAUGCGUAGAUAUUAGGAGGAACACCAGUGGCGAAGGCGGCCUGCUGGACGACAACUGACGGUGAGGCGCGAAAGCGUGGGGAGCAAACAGGAUUAGAUACCCCAGUAGUC